Molecule: small nucleolar RNA, 138 nt
Filed under: Zootermopsis nevadensis
Lineage: Eukaryota; Metazoa; Arthropoda; Insecta; Blattodea; Termopsidae
Source: RNAcentral
UGUCGGCCUGAUCGAAGCUGUACUUUAACGUUUUCAUAGUUGGUACAGUCAAAACGAGGCCAAAAAUAAUCUUCAUCUAAUGGUCGCUGAUUUGGCUAUACAAAUGUCUUACCAGCAUUACCCAAGUUGAAUACAAUU